This 1313-nucleotide long non-coding RNA is filed under the name Zonotrichia albicollis (white-throated sparrow). RNAcentral describes it as "lncRNA (ENSZALG00000010665.1)". The stretch from base 1117 to 1313 matches the Rfam family "Rhabdomyosarcoma 2 associated transcript conserved region 6". Lineage: Eukaryota; Metazoa; Chordata; Aves; Passeriformes; Passerellidae. The record is from RNAcentral.
GAAGAAUCUAAAAGCUUUCUUUAUAAAGUAAACGUCUGAUGUUUGUGACUGCGGGGGCAAAAAAUUCAUAAAUCUGUACGAUGCUAUCAUCUCUGAUUUGUUAUCGCAGCAAAUGCCAAGUCUAAGCAGUCUGACCUUAGCCUUAUUAAGUGCUUUCUUUUCAGAUACAGUUAUUAUUUGACAAUAGAGAGACUGCAGUGCUGCAAGGGGGAAAAGUAAUAUAUUUUAAAUAUGUGUGUGUGUGUGUGUGUGUGUGUCUAUGUGCGUCUGUGUGUGUGUGUGUGUGUGUAUAUAUAACUAUCCAUCUUUUUUACCCUGCAAAGCUUACAGAGUUGAGAGCACCGAGUGUGGGAACUCAGGGACUACUAUUCUGAGCACAAUUGAGAAAACUAUGUUUCGUCCCAUUGCAUGUGCUUGUCUUUGAUCUCAAAUUGAAAAUCUCUCAGCCUCUUCCUCCAAUCCAAAAGCAAAUAAAUACUGAGAGAAAGAAACCUUUCUCCUCUCAGCAUGUAGGGCCUCCACAACUGAAAAAUGAAGGUAGCUGUAAGAGCUCUGAUGAACCUGUUUGGACAACAGACAGAAAAAAAAAAAUACCUGUCUUGGUGGAGGAGUUUAAGAACACUGCAGAGAUCAUCAGGCAGUACAGAAUAUCUUGGCUCACACGGGCCAUUCUCUUUAUCUCAAAACAAUACCAGCCAAGCUCCUCCGUUCCUACAACUGAAGAGCUGCGGGAGCAGGAGGACAGUAACUAAUACAGCUUUUAAAUAUGAAUCUCCUUGUCCUGUUAAGAAAAAGAAAGAAAAAUAAGGAGAAAUACGUUAAUUCCAAGCAAGGCAAGAUAUCUGAUUCCAAGGAAGAAAACUAUCCACGGCAGGUUGAAGCCACAGGGGCAGUUCUGAAUUGCCUUUCUCCAUCCAACUACUUUACUUCAAAAGAUGUCCCUUCGAAAAACAGCAACUCCCAGGGAUCAAUGCAUAAAACGAUGCCGGGGUCUUGCUGAGCCCUUGCCAAUGCUCGGAGGCUGUGCCGAGCAGGAGGAUUGCAGUGAACCUCUUCCCAUGUCCUGGGGGAGCCAAAUGCCAAGUGUGGCAAAACCCUCCAGGGAGGUAACACAGUGGAUGAUUGAUUGUACCCGCCAGCUGGCUAAUAUCAUAAUUAACAAAGUUGCUACCAUGUCUGAGAAGUUUAAUCGAAAAAAUUGCCGGCAGUAUGAUGCCAUUGUCACAGAGAUCACAAGCACAGCAGUGUUGACUUUUGCACUGGUGGAGCCGCAGGACUAUGUAGAUGUGCUGAAAAGUCGUUCGCUGGGAUAA